UAACCUGCACCAGUAAACAAAGGGCAUCUAACCCUUGAGGUUUAAGCUUGAACGUGUCAUCAAAGCAACAGCAAACAGGUGGAUAUCCUUGGUAACAAUAAAUGCAAAUGCUGAAUUAGUAUAACAGUAAAAUUGAACUAGGUAAGUGGUUUGAUGAGUUAGCAACAGUCAUAAGAUAGCAUCUUCCGCAAUGCGGUAGAAUACAUGAAAACAUUAGACCAAACAGACCUGUGCCACAUGCAAACUAUAACAUGUGUUCCACUGAUCAAGUUUGUUCGUCAACCCUAUUCGAAAGUCACUGUGGAAACAUGUGUAUGAUGCUUUUAUGUUGAAGCAAGAAGUAGGUAUAGACAACCAUUACUAAGAUCACUCAUUUGUCAUGGCAACAUAGGUUAGUCUCUUUCGCUUUGAUAGUCAUGGAAAUUGAUAUCAAUGAAUCAAGCAGCUGACUAAUGACUCUAGCUGAUAGUUUGGCUAAGUAACAUUCAUGGAGAGAACGUGGAGUAGCAAAAAAUUGAAAGCUCACCUGAUCUCCUUUUGUUAAGUUGAGAAGCAUACAUAUUACAAUGACCUUCCAGGGGUCAGAUGCGUACUUCUCCUGCAGGAGGUUAUACUGGGAACGCGGCGGACGCACCAGCUGAUUCAGUGGCAGGCGGCGAUACUUGUCUGACCGCUUCUCGGCAGCACUAAGCAAUGCCAUGAAGGUCUCGUUUGCAGUGAGCUGAGUAGACAGAGAUGGCGGGUGAUCUCGAGGAAGCGGCCUGGCUGGACGAUCAGGGGUUUUCGGAAGAGACGGAGCAUUGAGACCUUCCUGGCGGUCAGGCUUGUAGCAGAACUGGUCAAAGAAUGCACCAAAAGGAGAGGAAUACUUGGAGUCCUGAUAAAUGGGAUUGGGAUUAGCCAUG
Molecule: long non-coding RNA, 905 nt
Organism: Panicum hallii
Lineage: Eukaryota; Viridiplantae; Streptophyta; Magnoliopsida; Poales; Poaceae
Exons: 2
Source: RefSeq, a predicted model, not a curated record